This 672-nucleotide long non-coding RNA is filed under the name Apteryx rowi (Okarito brown kiwi). RNAcentral describes it as "lncRNA (ENSARWG00000012302.1)". Lineage: Eukaryota; Metazoa; Chordata; Aves; Apterygiformes; Apterygidae. The record is from RNAcentral.
CUCCCUCAGAACUGUAGACAAGAYUAAGACCCUGAUCCCAAAGUUCCAGCAUCUGCAGUCCCCUGGGUAUUUUUGGUCACUCCUACAAUUGGAAUAAGGAUCACUUGUCACAUGCUAUAAAACUUGGCUUUUGGCUCAAGGCUGCAUAUGAUCUUUGCCUCCAAAUUAGGUUUCACCGUAUUUCUUCCAUUAUCCAUUGAAGCAUGGAGAAAUUAGAUGAAGAAAGYAGCAGAGGGUUGCCCAUCUCUGGGAACCAAAAUGGGGCAGGAAAAGUGGAAGAAGGUGCCUCCAGCAAGCAGGGAAUGGAGCAUCUGACUUAACUGAGGUGUGCUGGGACCUGAGGCUCUCCCUAUGCUUUUCUACAGCUGGGUGGCAGCAUUUCUGCAGUGAUUCAUGUGCAUGGCCUUUAGGGCAUGUUUGGGGAUGCCGUGAAAAACAAACCUGAGAACUAGCGUCAAAGAAACCUGCAUGCAAAGGUGUGCAAGAUCUCAGAGCUUCACAACCAAGGGCUUGGAACCUCAUGGUUGGAUGGUCCGACCGAAUAGCACUGAGACAUCUUGCUCUCUGGAUAUCGCCACUGCACAAAGCCCCUGCCAGCUUCCCAGGACCAUCCGUACAGCCGCAGAGCCGGCUCUGCCUCCAUCUUUAUUCUGGAUUGCACCUGAGCUGUAG